This 495-nucleotide ribosomal RNA is filed under the name uncultured bacterium. Its description in RNAcentral is "bacterial SSU rRNA". It matches the Rfam family "Bacterial small subunit ribosomal RNA", at positions 1 to 507 of the family's 1533-position model. The record is from RNAcentral.
CACUGACGAGUUUGAUCCUGGCUCAGAUUGAACGCUGGCGGCAGGCCUAACACAUGCAAGUCGAGCGGUAGAGAGAAGCUUGCUUCUCUUGAGAGCGGCGGACGGGUGAGUAAUGCCUAGGAAUCUGCCUGGUAGUGGGGAUAACGUUCGGAAACGGACGCUAAUACCGGAUGAUGUCUUCGGACCAAAGAUUUAUCGGCAAAGGAUGAGCCCGCGUAGGAUUAGGUAGUUGGUGGGGUAAAGGCCUACCAAGCCGACGAUCCUUAGCUGGUCUGAGAGGAUGAUCAGCCACACUGGGACUGAGACACGGCCCAGACUCCUACGGGAGGCAGCAGUGGGGAAUAUUGGACAAUGGGCGAAAGCCUGAUCCAGCAAUGCCGCGUGAGUGAUGAAGGCCUUCGGGUUGUAAACUGCUUUUGUACGGAACGAAACGGUGAGCUCUAAUACAGUUUGCUAAUGACGGUACCGUAAGAAUAAGCACCGGCUAACUACGUG